CAGUAGCCACGGUAAUACGAGGGGGGCAAGCGUUGUUCGGAAUUAUUGGGCGUAAAGGGUGCGUAGGCGGUUUGAUAAGUCUGAUGUGAAAUCUCUGGGCUCAACCCAGAGUCUGCAUCGGAAACUGUCGGGCUUGAGUAUGGGAGAGGUGAGUGGAAUUUCCGGUGUAGCGGUGAAAUGCGUAGAUAUCGGAAGGAACACCUGUGGCGAAAGCGGCUCACUGGACCAUUACUGACGCUGAUGCACGAAAGCUAGGGGAGCAAACAGGAUUAGAUACCCCUGUAGUCCCUGUCUCUUAUAC
This 301-nucleotide ribosomal RNA is filed under the name uncultured bacterium. Its description in RNAcentral is "partial 16S ribosomal RNA". It matches the Rfam family "Bacterial small subunit ribosomal RNA", at positions 509 to 807 of the family's 1533-position model. The record is from RNAcentral.